GUAAACGAAAAAGACAUAAUUGGAAGGACAGCUCUGCAUAUAGCUGCUUUUGCUGGCAAAGUGAAGGAAGCUCAAAAACUCAUCGCUGAAGGAGCCGACCCCAAUAUUGGAAAUAAUUUUAAUGAGACAGCUCUGCAUUAUGCUGCUAUGAAAGGUCACAAGAGUAUCGCCGAACUUCUCAUCAGUAAAGGAGCCAAUCUUGAUGCUGAAACUGAUACGAAAGAGACACCUCUUCAUUUAGCUGCU
Molecule: long non-coding RNA, 246 nt
Organism: Sitodiplosis mosellana (orange wheat blossom midge)
Lineage: Eukaryota; Metazoa; Arthropoda; Insecta; Diptera; Cecidomyiidae
Exons: 3
Source: RefSeq, a predicted model, not a curated record